CAAGGAGGUAGAAUCAGGAUGGUGCUGUCAUAUGGCUUAUCUAAUCACUUCUCCUGAUGGCUCCAUAAGAAUGAAGCUCUGUGCAUUCAUUCAUCCUGUUUGCAAGCAUGAAGUUCUGAUCCACUAAGCUUAGACUCAACUCAAAGUCUCUAUGGGAGAUUUAUGUAUUACUUAUUCUAGGCCUGGAACUGCUACCUGGACCCCAUAUCUGUAAACAGAGAAUCCAUCAUCCUGGGGGAGACAAGGCUACUUGAAUCAAAACUACCUUAGUAAUUAUUGAGAAUGAGAGCAAGACAAGCAGAAAAGAAGCUUCAACCCACUCAGGGCCCCUGCAGGGUCUGCACGUACAAUUACAGGUCAUCAUUUGCUUUUCAUAUUGAUGUUCAGAAAACAUUAAGAGAAGUUCA
Molecule: long non-coding RNA, 407 nt
Organism: Erinaceus europaeus (western European hedgehog)
Lineage: Eukaryota; Metazoa; Chordata; Mammalia; Eulipotyphla; Erinaceidae
Exons: 2
Source: RefSeq, a predicted model, not a curated record